AGAGAAAGCUUGCUUUUUCUAGGCGUCGACCGGCGCACGGGUGAGUAACGCGUAUCCAACCUGCCCAUCACUUGGGGAUAACCUUGCGAAAGUAAGACUAAUACCCAAUGACGUCUCUAGAAGACAUCUGAAGGAGAUUUAAAGAUUUAUCGGUGAUGGAUGGGGAUGCGUCUGAUUAGCUGUUGCGGGUAACGGCCCACCAAGGCGACGAUCAGUAGGGGUUCUGAGAGGAAGGCCCCCCACAUUGGAACUGAGACACGGUCCAAACUCCUACGGGAGGCAGCAGUGAGGAAUAUUGGUCAAUGGACGAGAGUCUGAACCAGCCAAGUAGCGUGCAGGAUGACGGCCCUAUGGGUUGUAAACUGCUUUUAUAAGGGAAUAAAGUGAGUCUCGUGAGACUUUUUGCAUGUACCUUAUGAAUAAGGACCGGCUAAUUCCGUG
RNAcentral lists this ribosomal RNA (441 nucleotides) under uncultured bacterium. RNAcentral describes it as "bacterial SSU rRNA". It matches the Rfam family "Bacterial small subunit ribosomal RNA", at positions 70 to 507 of the family's 1533-position model. The record is from RNAcentral.